RNAcentral lists this ribosomal RNA (1161 nucleotides) under Acinetobacter calcoaceticus. RNAcentral describes it as "bacterial SSU rRNA". It matches the Rfam family "Bacterial small subunit ribosomal RNA", at positions 151 to 1306 of the family's 1533-position model. Lineage: Bacteria; Pseudomonadati; Pseudomonadota; Gammaproteobacteria; Moraxellales; Moraxellaceae. The record is from RNAcentral.
UCGAAAGGAAUGCUAAUACCGCAUACGUCCUACGGGAGAAAGCAGGGGAUCUUCGGACCUUGCGCUAAUAGAUGAGCCUAAGUCGGAUUAGCUAGUUGGUGGGGUAAAGGCCUACCAAGGCGACGAUCUGUAGCGGGUCUGAGAGGAUGAUCCGCCACACUGGGACUGAGACACGGCCCAGACUCCUACGGGAGGCAGCAGUGGGGAAUAUUGGACAAUGGGCGCAAGCCUGAUCCAGCCAUGCCGCGUGUGUGAAGAAGGCCUUAUGGUUGUAAAGCACUUUAAGCGAGGAGGAGGCUACUUUAGUUAAUACCUAGAGAUAGUGGACGUUACUCGCAGAAUAAGCACCGGCUAACUCUGUGCCAGCAGCCGCGGUAAUACAGAGGGUGCAAGCGUUAAUCGGAUUUACUGGGCGUAAAGCGCGCGUAGGCGGCUAAUUAAGUCAAAUGUGAAAUCCCCGAGCUUAACUUGGGAAUUGCAUUCGAUACUGGUUAGCUAGAGUGUGGGAGAGGAUGGUAGAAUUCCAGGUGUAGCGGUGAAAUGCGUAGAGAUCUGGAGGAAUACCGAUGGCGAAGGCAGCCAUCUGGCCUAACACUGACGCUGAGGUGCGAAAGCAUGGGGAGCAAACAGGAUUAGAUACCCUGGUAGUCCAUGCCGUAAACGAUGUCUACUAGCCGUUGGGGCCUUUGAGGCUUUAGUGGCGCAGCUAACGCGAUAAGUAGACCGCCUGGGGAGUACGGUCGCAAGACUAAAACUCAAAUGAAUUGACGGGGGCCCGCACAAGCGGUGGAGCAUGUGGUUUAAUUCGAUGCAACGCGAAGAACCUUACCUGGCCUUGACAUAGUAAGAACUUUCCAGAGAUGGAUUGGUGCCUUCGGGAACUUACAUACAGGUGCUGCAUGGCUGUCGUCAGCUCGUGUCGUGAGAUGUUGGGUUAAGUCCCGCAACGAGCGCAACCCUUUUCCUUAUUUGCCAGCGAGUAAUGUCGGGAACUUUAAGGAUACUGCCAGUGACAAACUGGAGGAAGGCGGGGACGACGUCAAGUCAUCAUGGCCCUUACGGCCAGGGCUACACACGUGCUACAAUGGUCGGUACAAAGGGUUGCUACCUAGCGAUAGGAUGCUAAUCUCAAAAAGCCGAUCGUAGUCCGGAUUGGAGUCU